This 301-nucleotide ribosomal RNA is filed under the name uncultured bacterium. RNAcentral's name for it is "partial 16S ribosomal RNA". It matches the Rfam family "Bacterial small subunit ribosomal RNA", at positions 509 to 808 of the family's 1533-position model. The record is from RNAcentral.
CAGCAGCCACGGUAAUACGUAGGUCCCGAGCGUUGUCCGGAUUUAUUGGGCGUAAAGCGAGCGCAGGCGGUUAGAUAAGUCUGAAGUUAAAGGCUGUGGCUUAACCAUAGUACGCUUUGGAAACUGUUUAACUUGAGUGCAAGAGGGGAGAGUGGAAUUCCAUGUGUAGCGGUGAAAUGCGUAGAUAUAUGGAGGAACACCGGUGGCGAAAGCGGCUCUCUGGCUUGUAACUGACGCUGAGGCUCGAAAGCGUGGGGCGCAAACAGGAUUAGAUACCCCCGUAGUCCCUGUCUCUUAUACC